GUUCGUUUUUCUGAGUAAUAUGGAAAUGGCACGGCUCAGCCACACAAGGGCCUGGGCAAAGGUCACGGCCAGCAAAGAACACAGCCUGGGUCCUCUGAGUCCCGAGUCCACGCGAUCCUGACCCGUCCACCACCCUCCUCGAGACACGACAAGUUAGGCGGGAACAUAACCUGGGAGCCCCAUGUCGGUUUCAGGCUCCACAAGGGAUCUCUGGGUAAAGGGUUUGUCUCUUCCACAUCUGUUCAUUUAGGAGAAGCAAAGAACAUGGAAAGCAGAAUUCCUGGGGGUGGCCUCAACCCCAAGCCCUGCCGAUGCAAACCGGCACCUUGAAGAUGCCUUUGGAAUUUAACUGGAAGAUUUGAAUGACAUGGGCAGACACAGAAGAGGGAGAAGCAUUCCACAGGGGAGGAAAGGCCUCAGUGGGGACCUAUGGAGCUCCCAGGCCCACCGCAGGGAGGCAGGUCCUCGGUCAUCUGCGGAGGGAGAACACUUUCAGUCGAAGGAGCCUGGGACCCUUGACACAGAAGUGACAUGUGCAUUCGGAACCUCUCUGUGGAAAACACAGACCCUUCAUGACACGCAAACUCGAAGCCGGUGAGGCCGAGUCUCAGGGCUGCGCCAACCAGGAAGCCUGGCUGUCCAAUGUUCCAAAUCUGGAUGUGAAAUGGACCAUGCAGACAGGACCCAAGGGGCAUGGGGGAGCUGGCAGAGGCACCCGGGACAAGUGGGGAAGCACCUGUCGGCCAGGAAGGUAGAGAGGCACCUACCCCAGAACACGGUGCCAGCGUCACACUCUUAUUAACAGAUGCAAUAACCACCUUCGGAGACCAGACCCCUCAAAGAGCACUCAGCCCACAAUGUGACGCAGAGAAACCAGAGACCCAGGCAGGGAGUGCACCCACGGGGACACUCCGAGGGUGGCCUCCUGCCUGCCCUGAUUACUUAAAAAGGAGAUUCUUGGAAACCUUUGCGGGCCCACAGGUGCACCCUGACUCCCAGGGAUGGGGGCUGAGCCACCCAGGAAACAAAUAUGAAAUCAAAGAUCCAGACAGCCCUGACCCUCCUGAUUCCAGGGUCCAUAAAUAAGUCAUUCUUAAAAUAGUGGUUGUUUUCUCUCUAUUUAAGAAGUGCUUCUUUUUUGAGUCCUUGUUCCCAACUUCCCUGGCAACUCAGUUUCCUGUUUCCUCCGGGAGGAAGGCAGAACUGCAGGAGAGGUGUCCCUCAUCUCCCCAGGGACGGAGGAACACAGUCCCCAACUCUCUGUGAUCAGCAGAGCCCAGAGAGCCCAGCCUCGUGUACCAAAAAGGUCUGGGAGCCCCAUUUUUCUUCAGAGGAAAUGUUAAUGCCCGAAUGUCACCAGCUCAUCGCCGACAAAGGCCUGAACACAAACGUCUCCAGGCAACAGCCCCGAGCAGUCACUCUGGAAGGUUACGUGAAGCUGCUGGCUCAGAUUUUAAAUCGUCUCACAUGUGGGUUGCCCCACCUACCCCAUCAACAAACACAGCUUCGCACUUCUGCAUCAGAGGCUGUGCUGGGUUCUGGGGACACGGAAGGCCCCCAGCUCUCAGGCCUGGUAAGAGAAAGAAAAACACGAAGACAUUCCAGCCGGCCCUUCCUGCGGGGGCCGAGGGCAGAGCCCCUGGUCUGUCUCUUGCUCCAUCCUCACCCGCCCCUAUGAGGUCAGCACUGCUGUUCCGUCCAGUUUCCAGAUAAGGAAACAAGACACAAAGUAACUUCACCCAAGGUCAAGAAGCCAGGAAGAGGUGAAGUCAGGCUGAAGCCCCUAUCAUGAACGCUCCUCCACGGUCUGGCUUCCCUAUAGGGGCAGAGCCCUCCUCCGAGCAGAGCAUGUGCCUCCCUCUCGUCCACCCCUCCCUCUCUCUGUCUCUCUCUCCAUCUGUGCCCUGGACUGGUCUCUAAGCUGGGGAUUGAGGGCCUGAGCGUCUGGGACGGCCACCCCCAGCUCUCUCUGGGCAGGCGUCCAGUAAGGAGCCCCUGCUAUUUGGGUCAGGGCUGGCCAGUGGUGCUGGGUCAGGACAGUUUCCAGGAAACGGCCUGUCCCGGGUUCCAGUCCUACCUGGCCUGUGGCUCAGAGAUCACAAACCUUUUGAAAGCCCCCGCCCACACCACUCCCGAUCCUGAUGCCUCCCCCUCCUGCAACACCUCAGUUCCUGUGCUUCUCACUCCACGGAUGGCUUCCGCCUCCCACAGCUGACUGAGCUCUCAGAUGGAGACCACAUGUUCCUUGCAGGCUCUAGUGCCCAGCCCGGGUCUGACGCAGAAGCUCCUCAGCACAAUAUGGAUGGUUGGAUGGGUGGGUGGAUGAACGGAUGAGUGAAUGGACACAUGGAUGUACAGGUGGGUGAGUAGACGAAUGAAUGGAUGGAUGGAUGGAUGGAUGGAUGGACAGGCGGGUGGAUUGAACAGGUGGGUGAGCGGAUGGAUGGAUGGACAAAUGGGUGAGUAGAUGAAUCGAUGGAUGGAUGGACAGGUGGGUGGAUGAACAGGUGGGUGAGUAGAUCAACGGAUGGAUGGAUGGAUGGACAGGUGGGUGGAUGAACAGGUGGGUGAGUAGAUCAACGGAUGGAUGGAUGGAUGGAUGGACAGAUGGAUGGACGGACAGGUGGGUGGAUGAAUAGGUGGGUGAGUAGAAUAACGGAUGGAUGGAUGGAUGGAUGGAUGGACGGACAGGUGGGUGGAUGAACAGGUGUGUGAGUAGAUUUGAGUAGAUUAAUGGAUGGAUGGAUGGAUGUAAGGAUGGAUGAUGGAUGGAUGGACAGGUGGGUGGAUGUACAGGUGGGUGAGUAGAUCAACGGAUGGAUGGAUGGAUAGAUGGACAGGUGGGUGGAUGAACAGGUGGGUGAGUAGAUCAACGGAUGGAUGGAUGGAUAGAUGGAUGGACGGACAGGUGGGUGGAUGAACAGGUGUGUGAGUAGAUUUGAGUAGAUUAAUGGAUGGAUGGAUGGACAGGUGGGUGGAUGUACAAGUGGGUGGGUGGAUGGAUAGAUGGAUGGAUGGACAGGUGGGUGGAUGAACAGGUGUGUGAGUAGAUUUGAGUAGAUUAGUGGAUGGAUGGAUGGAUGGAUGUAAGGAUGGAUGAUAGAUGGAUGGAUGGACAGCUGGGUGGAUGAACAAGUGGGUGGGUGGAUGGAUAGAUGGAUGGAUGGACAGGUGGAUGGACCGACAGAUGAUGGAUGGGUGGCUAUUAGAGGAGAGGAAGGAAGGGAAAAGUGAAUGAAAAAACGGAUGCCUGGAAGGAUGAAUGGAAGGAUGGCACUGCCUCUUUAAGGGCAUUGCAACAAAUAUCAAAAGCUGCUGGAGUGGCCACCCUUGGGACCCUCAGUUCCACAUUUAGGAACUUGAAGAAACAACGGGAUGACUAUGAAAAGAUGUAAAAAUAUUGUAAUAAUAUUCACCGAAGCACUGCCAGCAACAGAGGCUUUAUUAAAUAAACGACACUGAAAAGAUGUGUGUGUGUAAUAAUAUUCACCGAAGCACUGUCAGCAACAGAGGCUUUAUUAAAUAAACGACAAUGAAAAGAUGUGUGUGUGUAAUAAUAUUCACCGAAGCACUGUCAGCAAUACAGGCUUUAUUAAAUAAAUCACAGUCCUUCUCAACAACCUAACACCGUGUGGUCAUUAAAAAUGGUGGUGUAGAUACAUGUAACAAGGAAUAAAGGUGUUCACAGUGUUGCCAGUGAAAAUAGGGUGUCGAUGAAACUGUACAAUUUAAAAACACAACCAUAAAGUAAAUAACCUAGAGGCUAUGCACCGUAAGGCUAAUAGCAACUGUGGGGUGGAGAGGGGGUGGGGUUGGGGUCAUUUUCAUGUGUUUUUUUCUUUUUCUUUUGUUUUUUUUUUUUUGAUUACUUGUACUGACGUGUAUUUUCUAAUUUUCUAUAAUUACAUUGUAAAUCUGUGUAAUUUUAAAAAUGAGGCCGUUCAUCAUUGGAGAAAACACGACACGUACGCUUAAGGGCAGACUUAAGGCUCUUAACAUUUUUAAAGCAACCAAAAGAGGCAAAAUGUAGACUUUAAAACACAAAAAUGUGCUUUUCUGAGUGUGGCACAGACUCCAAGCCCACAACGUCUGAGGAAGCGUACGGGAUCAGAACCAGCAGCUCCGUUCACAGCCAAACUCGCCUUCAAAAGGCAAGGAGAUGGCGCGCCAAGCUCAGCCCCUGAAAUCACACACGCGGGGUUGAACGUGAGUAACUCAGCCCAUCGUUCCGCACUGUGAAUCUGCUCCAAUACCUGCAGAGACAGGUCCAGCUCCCACUACGAGGGCCCACCGACCAACACGGUACACCGAGGGUGAAAAAGCCACGACCAGGCCCACCUGGAAAACACCAUCAGCUCCUAGAAAUGCCACUUCCUUCCUCCUCCCGCCGCUCCGGGCCUCCCGAGCCAAGACAAGCGCAGGUUGGGACUUGCACGGGAAAGCUCACCUGAGA
Molecule: long non-coding RNA, 4453 nt
Filed under: Homo sapiens (human)
Lineage: Eukaryota; Metazoa; Chordata; Mammalia; Primates; Hominidae
Description: non-protein coding lnc-DNAAF5-1:12
Source: RNAcentral